AUGUUAUCAAGAAAGGUGGAGGGAUUAGACCCUGUGAAACCUUAGCAACCCUAUGUGUAAACAAAGAAGGUGCUAAAUUCUACUUAAAAAUUGUAGUAAAUUUAAUUUUUAAGAGAGAUAACGG
This 124-nucleotide non-coding RNA is filed under the name Tenacibaculum soleae. RNAcentral's name for it is "SAM-I sequence". It matches the Rfam family "SAM riboswitch aptamer (S box leader)". From Rfam's summary of the family: The SAM riboswitch is found upstream of a number of genes which code for proteins involved in methionine or cysteine biosynthesis in Gram-positive bacteria. The SAM riboswitch acts at the level of transcription termination control. The record is from Rfam by way of RNAcentral. Lineage: Bacteria; Pseudomonadati; Bacteroidota; Flavobacteriia; Flavobacteriales; Flavobacteriaceae.